GGGGCUGUAGCUCAGUUGGGAGAGCGCUUGAAUGGCAUUCAAGAGGUCGGGGGUUCGACUCCCCUCAGCUCCAUCA
RNAcentral lists this transfer RNA (76 nucleotides) under Thermodesulfovibrio aggregans. Its description in RNAcentral is "tRNA-Ala". It matches the Rfam family "tRNA". Rfam says of the family: Transfer RNA (tRNA) molecules are approximately 80 nucleotides in length. The record is from RNAcentral. Lineage: Bacteria; Pseudomonadati; Nitrospirota; Thermodesulfovibrionia; Thermodesulfovibrionales; Thermodesulfovibrionaceae.